GACGAACGCUGGCGGCGUGCCUAAUACAUGCAAGUCGAACGAGAGCGACCGGUGCUUGCACUGGUCAAUCUAGUGGCGAACGGGUGAGUAACACGUGGGUAACCUGCCCAUCAGAGGGGGAUAACAUCCGGAAACGGAUGCUAAAACCGCAUAGGUCUUCGAACCGCAUGGUUUGAAGAGGAAAAGAGGCGCAAGCUUCUGCUGAUGGAUGGACCCGCGGUGCAUUAGCUAGUUGGUGAGGUAACGGCUCACCAAGGCCGUGAUGCAUAGCCGACCUGAGUGGGUGAUCGGCCGCAUUGGGACUGAAACACGGCCCAUACUCCUGCGGGAGGCAGCAGUAGCGAAUCUGCCGCAAUGGACGCGAGUCUGGCGGAGCAACGCCGAGUGAGUGAAGAAGGUUUUCGGAUCGUAAAACUCUGUUGUUAGAGAAGAACAAGUGCUAGAGUAACUGUUAGCGCCUUGACGGUAACUAACAAGAAAGCCACGGCUAACUACGUG
RNAcentral lists this ribosomal RNA (498 nucleotides) under uncultured bacterium. RNAcentral's name for it is "partial 16S ribosomal RNA". It matches the Rfam family "Bacterial small subunit ribosomal RNA", at positions 28 to 507 of the family's 1533-position model. The record is from RNAcentral.